This 75-nucleotide transfer RNA is filed under the name Candidatus Woesearchaeota archaeon. RNAcentral's name for it is "tRNA-Thr". It matches the Rfam family "tRNA". Rfam says of the family: Transfer RNA (tRNA) molecules are approximately 80 nucleotides in length. Lineage: Archaea; Nanobdellati; Candidatus Woesearchaeota. The record is from RNAcentral.
GCCCCUAUAGCUCAGAUUUGGUAGAGCACCAUCCUCGUAAGAUGGGGGUCCUGGGUCCAAAUCCCAGUAGGGGCU